AAUGAACGUUGGCGGCGUGGAUUAGGCAUGCAAGUCGAGCGAGAAAGAUCCUUUGCUUGCAUUGGAUCUGGAAAGCGGCGAAAGGGAGAGUAACGCGUAGGAUACCUACCCCCAGGUCUGGGAUAGCGGCGGGAAACUGCCGGUAAUACUAGAUGAUGUCCCCGGACCAAAGGUGAGAUUCCGCCUGGGGAUGGUCCUGCGUCCUAUUAGCUUGUUGGUGAGGUAACGGNUCACCAAGGCUAAGAUGGGUAGCGGGCGUGAGAGCGUGGCCCGUCUCACUGGGACUGAGACACUGCCCAGACACCUACGGGUGGCUGCAGUCGAGAAUCUUCCGCAAUGGACGCAAGUCUGACGGAGCGACGCCGCGUGCGGGAUGAAGGCCUUCGGGUUGUAAACCGCUGUCAGUGGGGUGGAAAUCGUAUGGGGCUAUCCCCAUAUGUUGACCUAACCGCAGAGGAAGUCCGGGCUAAGUACGUGCCAGCAGCCGCGGUAAU
RNAcentral lists this ribosomal RNA (494 nucleotides) under uncultured bacterium. Its description in RNAcentral is "bacterial SSU rRNA". It matches the Rfam family "Bacterial small subunit ribosomal RNA", at positions 29 to 524 of the family's 1533-position model. The record is from RNAcentral.